This 72-nucleotide transfer RNA is filed under the name Heterocephalus glaber (naked mole-rat). It matches the Rfam family "tRNA". Rfam says of the family: Transfer RNA (tRNA) molecules are approximately 80 nucleotides in length. Their secondary structure includes four short double-helical elements and three loops (D, anti-codon, and T loops). The record is from Rfam by way of RNAcentral. Lineage: Eukaryota; Metazoa; Chordata; Mammalia; Rodentia; Bathyergidae.
ACAAGUGUUGCUUAGUGGUAGAGCACUUGCCUAGUAUGCAUGAAGUCCUGGGUUAGAUCCCUAACACUGGAA